GUAGUCUCGCACAGAUGCAUAUCAAUAAGCGGAGGAAAAGAAACUAACAAGGAUUCCCUUAGUAACGGCGAGUGAAGCGGGAAGAGCUCAAAUUUGAAAUCUUCAAGGUUUUACCUUGACGAAUUGUAGUUUAAAGAAGUGUUUUCUGUUGAAGUUUUGGUAAAAGUUCUUUGGAAUAGGACAUCAUAGAGGGUGAGAAUCCCGUAUUUGACCAUUAUUUUCAGCUGUGUGAUACACUUUCAAAGAGUCGGAUUGUUUGGGAAUGCAGUCCAAAAUGGGUGGUAAAUUUCAUCUAAAGCUAAAUAUUGGCGAGAGACCGAUAGCGAACAAGUACCGUGAGGGAAAGAUGAAAAGAACUUUGAAAAGAGAGUUAAACAGUACGUGAAAUUGUCAAAAGGGAAGCGUUUGACACCAGUGUUGUUUUCUCGAAAAUCAAUUAAAAAGAGUUAGAUUUUGUUGUGUAUUGACCUUAACAGCUUGCAUUUCAAUUUUCUUGCUUUUUUUAAUGCACUUUUCGUUUAACAAGUCAACAUCAGUUUCUUUUGUUGUAAAAAGGUCAUUGGAAGGUGGCUUUCUUUUCGGAGAAAGUGUUUAUAGCCUUUGACUCCUGCAAUCGGAGAGACUGAGGUCUGCAGCGUAGAUCCUUCGGGGUUAGAUACAUUUGUGCUAAGUUAUAGCUUUUUAUAGACAACUUGUUGACUAUGAUUAGUCUUGUAGCUUACUCGCUUAUGCUAUUUUACCUACGCUUAGGAUGUUGAGCGCAUGUCUCUCUC
RNAcentral lists this ribosomal RNA (773 nucleotides) under uncultured Neocallimastigales. Its description in RNAcentral is "partial large subunit ribosomal RNA". It matches the Rfam family "Eukaryotic large subunit ribosomal RNA", at positions 24 to 617 of the family's 3401-position model. Lineage: Eukaryota; Fungi; Neocallimastigomycota; Neocallimastigomycetes; Neocallimastigales. The record is from RNAcentral.